RNAcentral lists this microRNA (22 nucleotides) under Gallus gallus (chicken). Its description in RNAcentral is "gga-miR-6575-3p". Lineage: Eukaryota; Metazoa; Chordata; Aves; Galliformes; Phasianidae. The record is from miRBase by way of RNAcentral.
GAGUUUUCCCAGGCUGAUGUCA